AUUGAACGCUGGCGGCAGGCCUAACACAUGCAAGUCGAGCGGAUGAAGGGAGCUUGCUCCUGGUUUCAGCGGCGGACGGGUGAGUAAUGCCUAGGAAUCUGCCUGGUAGUGUGGGAUAACGUCCGGAAACGGGCGCUAAUACCGCAUACGUCCUGAGGGAGAAAGGGGGGGAUCUUCGGACCUCACGCUAUCAGAUGAGCCUAGGUCGGAUUAGCUAGUUGGUGGGGUAAAGGCCUACCAAGGCGACGAUCCGUAACUGGUCUGAGAGGAUGAUCAGUCACACUGGAACUGAGACACGGUCCAGACUCCUACGGGAGGCAGCAGUGGGGAAUAUUGGACAAUGGGCGAAAGCCUGAUCCAGCCAUGCCGCGUGUGUGAAGAAGGUCUUCGGAUUGUAAAGCACUUUAAGUUGGGAGGAAGGGCAGUAAGUUAAUACCUUGCUGUUUUGACGUUACCCACAGAAUAAGCACCGGCUAACUUCGUG
This 484-nucleotide ribosomal RNA is filed under the name uncultured bacterium. RNAcentral describes it as "partial 16S ribosomal RNA". It matches the Rfam family "Bacterial small subunit ribosomal RNA", at positions 30 to 507 of the family's 1533-position model. The record is from RNAcentral.